AGCAGCCGCGGUAAUUCCAGCUCCAAUAGCGUAUAUUAAAGUUGUUGCAGUUAAAAAGCUCGUAGUUGAAUUUCGGGAUUGACGUGAUGGUCAUGCCUUAAGGGGUAUGAACUGUUACAGUUGAUUUCUCACCCUUCUGGAGAAACUUGAUGUCCUUUAUUGGGUGUCUUGCGGAUCCAGGACCUUUACCUUGAAAAAUUAGAGUGUUUAAAGCAGGCAUUUUUGCUCGAAUACAUUAGCAUGGAAUAAUAGAAUAGGUACGGCAUGGUUCUAUUUUGUGGUUUCUAGGAUCACCGUAAUGAUUAAUAGGGAUAGUUGGGGGCAUUAGUAUUCAAUUGUCAGAGUGAAAUUCUUGGAUUUAUUGAA
Molecule: ribosomal RNA, 366 nt
Filed under: uncultured Entrophospora
Lineage: Eukaryota; Fungi; Glomeromycota; Glomeromycetes; Entrophosporales; Entrophosporaceae
Description: SSU rRNA
Rfam family: Eukaryotic small subunit ribosomal RNA
Source: RNAcentral